UCUAAGCUUGAUCCAAAGGCAAUGAAGGUA
Molecule: non-coding RNA, 30 nt
Filed under: Mus musculus (house mouse)
Lineage: Eukaryota; Metazoa; Chordata; Mammalia; Rodentia; Muridae
Source: RNAcentral